UCUCCGUUGGUGAACCAGCGGAGGGAUCAUUAUUAGAGCCUAAAAGCUCCCAAACCACUGUGAACUUACCUGUUUCGUUGCUUCGGCAGGCGGCCCCAGGGCGGGGCCUUUGCUGUAACGGCGCCUGCCGGAGGUACCAAAACUAUUGCUGUUUAGUGUUAUCUGAGCCUAAAGACAAAUCAGUCAAAACUUUCAACAACGGAUCUCUUGGUUCUGGCAUCGAUGAAGAACGCAGC
This 236-nucleotide unclassified non-coding RNA is filed under the name uncultured fungus. RNAcentral's name for it is "sequence contains ITS1, 5.8S rRNA gene". The stretch from base 188 to 236 matches the Rfam family "5.8S ribosomal RNA", at positions 1 to 49 of the family's 154-position model. Lineage: Eukaryota; Fungi. The record is from RNAcentral.